GGCAACCCUGACGGAGCAACGCCGCGUGUGGGAGGACGGCCUUCGGGUUGUAAACCACUUUUCUCAGGGAAGAAGGACUGACGGUACCUGAGGAAUAAGCCUCGGCUAACUCCGUGCCAGCAGCCGCGGUAAUACGAGGGAUGCAAGCGUUAUCAGGAAUUAUUGGGCGUAAAGCGUUCGUAGGUGGCUAGAUAAGUCUGUCGUCAAAGCAUGGAGCUUAACUCCAUUAAGGCGAUGGAAACUGUUUGGCUAGAGUGUGGUAGGGGUAACAGGAAUUCCCAGUGUAGCGGUGAAAUGCGUAGAUAUUGGGAAGAACACCAGUGGCGAAGGCGCUCUACUGGGCCGCGACUGACGCUGAGGGACGAAAGCUAGGGGAGCG
This 379-nucleotide ribosomal RNA is filed under the name uncultured cyanobacterium. RNAcentral's name for it is "bacterial SSU rRNA". It matches the Rfam family "Bacterial small subunit ribosomal RNA", at positions 376 to 770 of the family's 1533-position model. The record is from RNAcentral. Lineage: Bacteria; Bacillati; Cyanobacteriota.